GUCAGAGCUGUGUUUGACUUGUGCUGGCUCCACCCCUGAUCUGCCUCUUUGACAGUUUCAGCCAAUGCUAUGGGUAAGCAUUGUGAUUGGCUCAGAGAAUAACUUCUGAUGAUGUCAGUAGAUAUGGGCAGCUCAGAUGCAAACCAGCAGCUACAGACUUGAAUACAAGCAAGAUUUUAAUAUAUUUAGGGAGGCAAGUGGGGGCCAGAUGGUGGUUUUAAAGGAAACUAUA
Molecule: non-coding RNA, 232 nt
Organism: Pelobates cultripes (western spadefoot toad)
Lineage: Eukaryota; Metazoa; Chordata; Amphibia; Anura; Pelobatidae
Source: the annotation of a GenBank genome assembly